Molecule: ribosomal RNA, 495 nt
Filed under: uncultured bacterium
Lineage: Bacteria
Description: partial 16S ribosomal RNA
Rfam family: Bacterial small subunit ribosomal RNA
Source: RNAcentral
GACGAACGCUGGCGGCGUGCCUAAUACAUGCAAGUAGAACGCUGAAGGCGGAGCUUGCUUCUCUGGUUGAGUUGCGAACGGGUGAGUAACGCGUAGGUAACCUGCCUGGUAGUGGGGGAUAACUAUUGGAAACGAUAGCUAAUACCGCAUAAUAGCAGCUGUUGCAUGAUAACUGUUUGAAAGGUGCAAUUGCACCGCUACCAGAUGGACCUGCGUUGUAUUAGCUAGUUGGUGGGGUAACGGCGCACCAAGGCGAGGAUACAUAGUCGACCUGAGAGGGUGGUCAGCCACACUGGGACGGUGACACGGCCCAGACUCCUACAGGAGGCAGCAGUAGGGAAUCUGCGGCAAUGGGCGGAAGUCUGACCGAGCAACGCCGCAGGAGUGAGGAGGGUUUUCGGAUCGUAAAGCUCUGUUUUAAGGGAAGAACGAGUGUGAGAGUGGGAAGAUCACACUGUGACGGUAACUUACCAGAAAGGGACGGCUAACUACGUG